Molecule: ribosomal RNA, 382 nt
Filed under: uncultured bacterium
Lineage: Bacteria
Description: bacterial SSU rRNA
Rfam family: Bacterial small subunit ribosomal RNA
Source: RNAcentral
GUGAGUAACGCGUGGGAACCUGCCCUNGGAGUGAGGGAUAACCCUGGCGAAAGCCGGGCUAAUACCGCAUACGCCCUACGGGGGAAAGAUUUAUCGCUCUAGGAGGGGCCCGCGUCGGAUUAGCUAGUUGGUGGGGUAACGGCCUACCAAGGCGAUGAUCCGUAGCUGGUCUGAGAGGAUGAUCAGCCACACUGGGACUGAGACACGGCCCAGACUCCAUACGGGAGGCAGCAGUAGGGAAUAUUGGACAAUGGGGGCAACCCUGAUCCAGCAAUGCCGCGUGAGUGAUGAAGGCCUUCGGGUUGUAAAGCUCUUUCGGCGGGGACGAUGAUGACGGUACCCGCAGAAGAAGCCCCGGCUAACUUCGUGCCAGCCGCCGCGG